Long non-coding RNA from Rosa rugosa (rugosa rose), 1758 nucleotides. RefSeq lists it as uncharacterized. The record is from RefSeq and is a predicted model, not a curated record. The transcript has 8 exons. NCBI's taxonomy places the organism in Eukaryota, Viridiplantae, Streptophyta, Magnoliopsida, Rosales, Rosaceae.
AAGUUUGAGAGGCGCGGGGACCAAAUUUUCAUUCCCCCCAACACUAAGUCACUUUGUCUGAAAGUUUCGAACCCUAAUAGAUUCUCCCCUUCUUCGCAUCCCUGACCUCAACUCAUUCUCCUCCUCCAUCUCCGCCUUCGACUAUCACCUAUCUCUCUCGCUCCCUUGUCUUUCCAGACCCGACUCUCUCUCUCUCCCUCUCCCUCUCCCUCUCUCUCUGUCUCUGAAUCUCACAUUCUCUCUCUAAAACCCUCUCCAUCUCUCUCUGAAACUGACGUUGAUGAAGUCUAUGUAGCUGCUCCACAAUUUCUUACGGGAGACGAUGGAGCCACCCCAGUCAACAAACCCUAGUCCGGCAAGCCUCCGUAAAAGCAUAAAGCCUCCAAGGAGAACGAGUCUCCGCCUUCAGAUCUCCUCUAUACGGCCUUGGAUUUGAAGCUUUCGCUGGCGACCAAGUUGAAUAGUCUGUUGCCGCCACGGCCACAGCCAUUAAAUCCUCGAAAAACGGAAGCUUGAGAUGCUUCCUGAGAACUGCGUCCAUGGAGCCUCUGAUUCCGGCGUCCAGAGAACGCGCAAAAAAUCAGAAUUGGAAGAAAAAAGAAAACAAAGACAAAGAAGAAGAAGGAGAAGAGCGUGUCAACACAACACAAAACCCAUCAUCAUCCUCCUCAUCCUCGUCUCUGCACACUUGCCUCCAUACAAACCCCAUCUCCAUUUCUUGUCCACCGUGCUCCAAUUCCAAUCCCCCAUUUUUUGUUUUGUUGUUGUUAUUAUUGUUAUUAUAAUAUUAAGCUCCACAUCAAGACAGCCAUGACAGGCAAGGAAAUCCUCUACAAGAUGAAGCACUAUCGCUGGUUACAUUGAAAACAGUUUUGAUGCUUGCAGAUCAAUUAGUAAAUUAACAGAGUCGAGUACAUGCACUCGAGAGGUUUCCUUCAUCGUGAUAUAAAACCUGACAACUUUUUAAUGGGCCUAGGGCGUAAAGCCAAUCAGGGGAGAGAAGACAAUGUCACUGUUGGAGAGUGGGCUAAAGGUGAAGGAGUAUGAGCUUUUGCUUAAGAACUUCAGUGAUACUGGUUGCAUUGGAUUCGGUAUUCAGGAGCAUAUCGAUCUUGGAAUUAAAUCCCUCUUUCUCAUAUAUCUGAAAAUGUUUAUAAGACAUCAGUUGACUGGAUCGGCCAUCGCUCCACUGAAGCCCUUGGUUCCUUCGUGUUGUGGUCACUAGAUUGCAUUCUUGCUGACCUUGCAAGUUAUCAGGGAGCAGCAAUGGGAUCCAAAAAGGUGGUCCAGCAACCUUCAAGAUGUCAGAAGGUAGGAGCCUCCGUCAAUUGCAGAUUGCGUUGUGCCUACAAAAUUAUUCAGAUUCGGAAAUCCUCCUCAUGUGUUCUACUUCGCUCUCUGCUGAGGCACCGGAUCUUGUGAAAAAUCUGAGUGGACGGUAAAGGCUCGGAAAGGAUACACCUGACAACAACUUGACGAGGUGCGCAUUGAAGUGGCCGACUACUUACAGACUUUGUUGUAGAUUCUGACUAGUUUCUUGGUUUUGAGUAAGACUAGCUUUCGUUUAACCUUUUUGUAGUAGAUGAAGUAUUAGUAAUUGGUAGGCUAGCCUUGUAGUAGGUUAAUUGGGGUUUUAUUUUGCCUAUUUUGUAAAUUGUCAAGGAUGAUGAUUUUGAACAGAAUACCCCAAUACUCAAAUAUUCACUCUUGUCAACUGUGGGUACUGCAUUUUAUAGUAGCAGCUAUAUAUUUUGUAGA